GACGAACGCUGGCGGCGUGCCUAACACAUGCAAGUCGAGCGGGGUUGAAGCGAGGGGUAACUCGGACUUCUACCUAGCGGCGGACGGGUGAGUAACGCGUGGGCAACCUGCCUCAAGGUUUGGGAUAACAGCUCGAAAGGGCUGCUAAUACCGGAUAUGCCUGUGGCCUCGCAUGGGGCUAUGAGCAAAGGGGAAACCCGCCUUGAGAUGGGCCCGCGUCCCAUCAGCUAGUUGGUGAGGUGAAGGCUCACCAAGGCGACGACGGGUAGCCGGCCUGAGAGGGUGACCGGCCACACUGGGACUGAGACACGGCCCAGACUCCUACGGGGGGCAGCAGUGGGGGAUCUUGCACAAUGGGCGAAAGCCUGAUGCAGCGACGCCGCGUGAGCGAAGAAGGCCUUCGGGUUGUAAAGUCUCUGUCGUGGUAGGGACGGAAACGAAAUAGACGGUACCGUCCGGACGGAAGCCGACCGGGCCUAACGUAACGUUACGCCACGCACGGCCGACCGGUAAAACGUACGACGUACCGCGUCG
RNAcentral lists this ribosomal RNA (534 nucleotides) under uncultured bacterium. RNAcentral's name for it is "bacterial SSU rRNA". It matches the Rfam family "Bacterial small subunit ribosomal RNA", at positions 28 to 543 of the family's 1533-position model. The record is from RNAcentral.